UACGUAGGGUGCGAGCGUUAAUCGGAAUUACUGGGCGUAAAGCGUGCGUAGGCGGCGCGUUAAGUCAGGUGUGAAAGCCCCGAGCUUAACUUGGGAAUUGCGCUUGAGACUGGCGUGCUGGAGUGUGGCAGAGGGAGGUGGAAUUCCACGUGUAGCAGUGAAAUGCGUAGAGAUGUGGAGGAACACCGGUGGCGAAGGCAGCCUCCUGGGCCAGCACUGACGCUCAUGCACGAAAGCGUGGGGAGCAAACAGG
This 253-nucleotide ribosomal RNA is filed under the name uncultured bacterium. RNAcentral's name for it is "partial 16S ribosomal RNA". It matches the Rfam family "Bacterial small subunit ribosomal RNA", at positions 524 to 776 of the family's 1533-position model. The record is from RNAcentral.